AGAGGUACGGAAUAACAGUUGGAAACGACUGCUAAUACCGUAUGAGCCCGAGAGGGGAAAGAUUUAUCGCCUUUGGAGGGGCCCGCGUCAGAUUAGGUAGUUGGUGGGGUAAUGGCCUACCAAGCCUUCGAUCUGUAGCUGGUCUUAGAGGAUGAUCAGCCACACUGGGACUGAGAUACGGCCCAGACUCCUACGGGAGGCAGCAGUGGGGAAUAUUGGACAAUGGGGGCAACCCUGAUCCAGCAAUGCCGCGUGAGUGAUGAAGGCCUUCGGGUUGUAAAGCUCUUUUGCCAGGGACGAUAAUGACGGUACCUGGAGAAUAAGCCCCGGCUAACUUCGUGCCAGCAGCCGCGGUAAUACGAAGGGGGCUAGCGUUGUUCGGAAUUACUGGGCGUAAAGGGCGCGUAGGCGGUCUGAUAAGUUAGGUGUGAAAUUCCCGGGCUUAACCUGGGCGCUGCACUUAAUACUGUCGGGCUUGAAUCCGGGAGAGGAUAGCGGAAUUCCCAGUGUAGAGGUGAAAUUCGUAGAUAUUGGGAAGAACACCAGUGGCGAAGGCGGCUAU
RNAcentral lists this ribosomal RNA (562 nucleotides) under Dongia sp. RNAcentral's name for it is "bacterial SSU rRNA". It matches the Rfam family "Bacterial small subunit ribosomal RNA", at positions 132 to 728 of the family's 1533-position model. Lineage: Bacteria; Pseudomonadati; Pseudomonadota; Alphaproteobacteria; Rhodospirillales; Dongiaceae. The record is from RNAcentral.